CUGGUCUCCAGGAGUUCCCAUUCAAAUAUGCAUCACCCUAGGGUAGGAGAGGCGGUCGUCUGAAGAUUGAUGUGUGCAAGGAUGACGAAACAGCUGUGCAGAUGUGACAAGUCAAGGACCCUGAGAUGGAGAGCUGAGCCUGGAUUAUCAGGUGGGCCCAAUGCACUCAUAGGGUCUUUAUGAGUGGGAGGCAAGGGAGUGAGUCAGAGAAGGAGACGCGGUGACAGAUGCAGGCAUCAGAGUGAUUCCACGUGAAAAGGACUGGACCAGCCAUUGCUGGCUGUGCAGAUGGAGGAAGGGGCCAUGAGCCAAGGAAUGACGGCGGCCUCCAAAAGCUGAAAAAAGCAAGGAAAUGGAUUCCCCCUAGAACCAUCCAGGAGGAACACUGCCCAGUUGAUGCCUUGAUUUUAGCCCAGUGACACCCUUUUUGGACUCUAGCCUCCAGAACUGUAAAAUAAUAAAUGUGCAUGUUUUAAGCCUCUAAACUUGUGGUGGUUUGUGACAGCAGUGACAGGGAACUAAUACUCAUGGUAUGUGCAGGGAUGCCCAUGUGCCCCGCAGGGAGGGGUGACUGUGGGAGCACAGAAGAGCCCGGGGGUCAGGGGAGCUGCCUGGAGAAGAUGCCUGGGCUGAGCACUGAAGGGUGAGUAUCUCCUGGGCAAGCCCAGAGGAAGGGCGUGCCAAGGAGGCAAAAGAGG
Molecule: long non-coding RNA, 698 nt
Filed under: Homo sapiens (human)
Lineage: Eukaryota; Metazoa; Chordata; Mammalia; Primates; Hominidae
Description: HSALNT0049244
Source: RNAcentral